Long non-coding RNA from Pseudopipra pipra, 2210 nucleotides. RefSeq lists it as uncharacterized. NCBI's taxonomy places the organism in Eukaryota, Metazoa, Chordata, Aves, Passeriformes, Pipridae. The transcript is spliced from 2 exons. The record is from RefSeq and is a predicted model, not a curated record.
GCGAAGAUGCCCCACGCCCCGCUUGGUCGCUGCGUCCAUCCUCGGGGACUCGGAGGCUUGCGAGAAGGGCCACCGGGAAGGUCCAGCUGCGGGGGCACCGGGUGUAGGCUCUGCCUCGGGGCGGCCCGGCGGCCGCACACAAGCGCCGCGCCGGCCCCACACAGCCUCGGGCAGGGCAGGGACAGGGGUGCCGCCUCAGCGCGGAGUCGCGGGGCGGGGAAAUGGCGGCGCCUCAGGGGGCUGCGCUCCCGCGGGGAGCUGGGCUGGGGGCGAGUGGGAGCGGGUGUGUGUGUGUGUGUAUGUGUGCGGGGGUGUGUGUGUGUGUGUGUGUGUGUGUGUGUGUGAAGGGCGGGUUCCGCGCCGGGGGGGCGUAUGGCUGUGCCUUGCGGUGAACUCUGUCAGAGAGGUGCCCGUGUGCCGGAGGCGCAGAACGGGGCGUCUGCGGACGGGUGAGCCCGGCGAGGGGGCGGCGUGCGGUGGGUGCGUGUGCUGAGAGGUGCGCGGUGUGUGUGGGGUGAGUGCGUGUGUGUGUGUGUGUGUGUGUGUGUGAGUGUGUGUGUAACUGCGUGAGCGUGUGCCAGCGUGCAGGAGUGCGAAAGUGCACGCGUGUGGAUGUGCCUGUGCGGGUGUGUGCGGUUCUGCGCUGUGUGCGGGGGCGGCGCGGCCGCGGGGGCGCAGGGCGGGGGGUCGCAGGGGCGGGUCGGUGCACUAAGACAGCCUGGCGGCCCCCGCCUGACUGACGCCGCCCGGGGCUGCUGCCGCCCCGCUCCCGCCCGCGGCGCGCCGAGACCCCAGAUCUCAAAGCCGGAGCUCCCGCCCGCGUCCCGGAAAUGUCGGAGGGGGUGGCAGGGGGAAAGGAGAGCAGUCCCGCCGCCGUCGCCCCAUACUUCGCGCCGGGGCUGCCCCGCGUCUUUCCCCGCGCUGGGCCGUGCAAAACCUCAUUGGGAGACUGGACAAGUACUUGAAGGAGGGAUCCACUGGCAUCAGAUAUCAGACUGAGGACAUAAGCGGACUGGAAACAGCUGGGAGCACACCGGUCUUCACACUGUAAUUGAGCAACAAAAUUAUAGGAGAUGAGAGAAGAUGCCUCUAAGUUUAUACUGUCCUAUCUGUAUUUUGAGCUGAUAUUUCUGCUUUAUCCUCCUUAAAGGAUUGAACUUGACAUCCAAACGUCAGACUUGAACAUCUUAGUCAUAAGGUCCACCAUUAGUAUCUAUCAUGGGCUCAAAAUUUCCUUGCAAAGAAGUUAGAGACUUCUGUUUUAAAAAAUAGAUGUUUAUGCUGCCAUACAGAUACAUAUUACUUCUGAAAAAAACCACCAGGUACCAACUUUAAGAUACAAAAACAUUUUAUUUUUGAGGAGGAUAAUUUUUUUAGAAGGUAUUAUGGUAAAACCCAAGACUUUCUGUCUUUAAGUAAAAGUUGUAUAGUAUAGUACACUUCCACUGUGCAUGAAAGCAUGCCCAGUCCCUUGGAAGCAGAAAAGUUUUUCCCCUUGUAGAAGCUAAGUAACACCUCAGACUUGCUCUCCCUUAUAUUUGGUGUGUUGAAACAUAUAAUGAUGUGUAACUGGCACCAUUUCAGUUUCUUUAAGCUUAUUCAGCCAUUACUGCUCUGAAAACCACAAAAGACAAGGCAAAGCAUUACAAGCAUUACAAAUGCCCUUCUGUUGUCUUCAUUUUGGGAGCAGUCCAGAUGGAAAGAUUCUACUCAAAAGACCAGCUUUGGACCAGUCUGGGCAAGGGACUGUGUGUUUGGCAAAAGCUACGAAUGGCCAGGUCUGGCAUUGCUAAGAGGAGCAGUGGUCACUGCCAACAUUUCUCUUUUACUUCACUUUCUCUAAUCAGCUCAGAAUUAAUAGGCAACAGCCCUGAAUUUGGGACUAGAAGCAACAAAUAAUUUUCUCUCUUGCCUUCUUGUAUGCUACUCCAAUCAGCUCUUCCUCCCAUAUUAGCAGAUACACACAGUGACCAGCAGUAAAUUAUUAAUUUAGCUGGCUUUGCUGCUUCUCUGGAAUUCCUGAACUGCAUCCUUUUUUUUUUCAGGAAAUGUGCCCAAGAAUUUUACAAACUAUAAAACUAAUCCUAAUACUGCACUGAAAUAAGAGUUACUAUGAUGAGUAUUUUCACUGCUGGAGACAGCAAAAAACCUAAAAAAUAUUCAACCUCUACAAUAUUCAAUCUUUACACUGGUGUCUUUUAUCAGUGUAA